Molecule: ribosomal RNA, 322 nt
Filed under: uncultured bacterium
Lineage: Bacteria
Description: bacterial SSU rRNA
Rfam family: Bacterial small subunit ribosomal RNA
Source: RNAcentral
GACGAACGCUGGCGGCGUGCCUAACACAUGCAAGUCGAGCGAUGAAAUCCUUCGGGAUGGAUUAGCGGCGGACGGGUGAGUAACACGUGGGUAACCUGCCUCAAAGAGGGGAAUAGCCUUCCGAAAGGAAGAUUAAUACCGCAUAAUAUGUUUUGGUCGCAUGAUCGAAACAUCAAAGGAGCAAUCCGCUUUGAGAUGGACCCGCGGCGCAUUAGCUAGUUGGUGAGGUAACGGCUCACCAAGGCGACGAUGCGUAGCCGACCUGAGAGGGUGAUCGGCCACAUUGGAACUGAGACACGGUCCAGACUCCUACGGGAGGCAG